CAUUGCUGAGUCUAUCCUUGCUCAGGGAUGAGCAAGAGGUAAGCUUGGGGGAGUUUGUUGACGGUCCUUAAGUAUCAAAUUUAAUUAUCAAAUAAACAAAGAAAAGGAUCCAAAUGAAAUCAACAUCUAGACUUAGGGUUUUAUCUGACAGAAUUCCACGAGUUUUGGUGUUUGUCUAUUUCUGCAGGGGGUUAUCAGGAAAUAAGGAAGAAAGGCCCACAUGUCAGGAUUACAUAGAGAUAUCAACACACCGCGCAAUUUUCUACCAUCUAGAAGACUCCAGAAGCCACGAGACUGAAGCGGAGGCGAAACGGGGCCAGGACCUUGGCGCCCGCCCACCUGCCGAGCCCAAUUAGGACUCUUUCUCUCGGGAGAUCUCCACCGACCUAUUGGAUCAAGAAAAACAUAGUACCACCUCGCCUAUCAACCCAAAAACACAUUGAAGGGGAGGACUAUAUAAGGAGACCCCCCUGGCCCUGGAGAAGACAUGAAGAAAUUAUCAUAGAGAUUGAGGGGUGC
Molecule: long non-coding RNA, 519 nt
Filed under: Sorghum bicolor (sorghum)
Lineage: Eukaryota; Viridiplantae; Streptophyta; Magnoliopsida; Poales; Poaceae
Description: long non-coding RNA (SBIC_LNC016267)
Source: RNAcentral